UACGUAGGGACCAAGCGUUGUUCGGAUUUACUGGGCGUAAAGGGCGCGUAGGCGGCGCGACAAGUCACUUGUGAAAUCUCCGGGCUUAACCCGGAACGGCCAAGUGAAACUGUCGUGCUAGAGUGCGGAAGGGGCAAUCGGAAUUCUCGGUGUAGCGGUGAAAUGCGUAGAUAUCGAGAGGAAAACCUGAGGUGAAGACGGGUUGCUGGGCCGACACUGACGCUGAGUGCGCGAAAGCCAGGGGAGCAAACGGG
RNAcentral lists this ribosomal RNA (254 nucleotides) under uncultured bacterium. RNAcentral's name for it is "partial 16S ribosomal RNA". It matches the Rfam family "Bacterial small subunit ribosomal RNA", at positions 524 to 776 of the family's 1533-position model. The record is from RNAcentral.